This 837-nucleotide ribosomal RNA is filed under the name uncultured bacterium. RNAcentral's name for it is "bacterial SSU rRNA". It matches the Rfam family "Bacterial small subunit ribosomal RNA", at positions 58 to 916 of the family's 1533-position model. The record is from RNAcentral.
CAAGUCGAACGGUCCGGCCGAAAGGCCGGAUAGUGGCGGACGGGUGAGUAACGCGUGAGCAACCUGCCUUAAAGAGGGGGAUAACACAGGGAAACCUGCGCUAAUACCGCAUAACAUGAAUUUUCCGCAUGGGAGAUACAUCAAAGGAGCAAUCCGCUUUAAGAUGGGCUCGCGUCCGAUUAGAUAGUUGGUGGGGUAACGGCCCACCAAGUCAGUGAUCGGUAGCCGGACUGAGAGGUUGAACGGCCACAUUGGAACUGAGAGACGGUCCAGACUCCUACGGGAGGCAGCAGUGGGGGAUAUUAGGCAAUGGGGGAAACCCUGACCUAGCAACGCCGCGUGAAGGAAGAAGGUCUUCGGAUUGUAAACUUCUUUGACGAGGGACGAUAAUGACGGUACCUCGAAAACAAGCCACGGCUAACUACGUGCCAGCAGCCGCGGUAAUACGUAGGUGGCGAGCGUUGUCCGGAUUUACUGGGUGUAAAGGGCGUGUAGGCGGAAUGGCAAGUCAGAUGUGAAAUACGGGAGCUUAACUCCCGGGCUGCAUUUGAAACUGCUGUUCUUGAGUGAUGGAGAGGUAAGCGGAAUUCCCGGUGUAGCGGUAAAAUGCGUAGAUAUCGGGAGGAACACCAGUGGCGAAGGCGGCUUACUGGACAUUAACUGACGCUGAGGCGCGAAAGUGUGGGGAGCGAACAGGAUUAGAUACCCUGGUAGUCCACACUGUAAACGAUGGAUACUAGGUGUGGGGGGACUGACCCCUUCCGUGCCGGAGUCAACACAAUAAGUAUCCCACCUGGGGAGUACGGUCGCAAGAUUAAAACUCAAAUGAAUUGACGG